Molecule: long non-coding RNA, 2052 nt
Organism: Canis lupus familiaris (dog)
Lineage: Eukaryota; Metazoa; Chordata; Mammalia; Carnivora; Canidae
Exons: 3
Source: RefSeq, a predicted model, not a curated record
GAUGAGCUGAUUUACUGUGUUCUGCAAUGUAGUAAAAGGCAUACUCAGCCCCUGAAGCUAGAAUUUGGGAACACUUGUGAGUAAGCUGGGUUCUGCCUAAGAGCUUACAGGUUUCCUUGUCCUCUGGUUUCCAGUCCAGCCAAUGGAAGAUAUGUGCCAAGAAAUUUCAAGAUUAGUGGAGAAUGAGGCAAGAACUUUUAUUACACUAGUAACCUUCUCCUGCGUCAUCACAAAUCAGCUCUGACACUCUACUUAAGGCCACAAUUUCUACUGAGCGAAUGUUUCCACCUGGUUACUCUAUGUUCUAGUAACUAUUUCCCAUGCAGCCCCUCAGAAUUCCUGCUUUCACUGGCUCCAAGACUUGUUCGGGAGACAUGGGAGGAGACUAUUGCACUACUAGAAGAAAAAAAAGAAGGGAAUUCUGAUCACUACCAUCAGCUGUGUGUAUCUACCCCAGAUACACAGUCUGGGUAGCAGAAUCAAUGGGCUGUCCAGUGAAUUUUCAGAAUGGGUCUGAUAGAAGCAAGAAGUAAUACUGGUGGGUCCAGUUCAGUAAUUGGGAAGGAGAUUUGACAAGGCAGGCUAUGAUAUGAAGUCAGAUUUUAGGGUUUCAGAACAUUAUCCCAUCCUUAGCAGUCCCCUAACCAGUGGUAGAGAGGCACCACUAUCACCGCCAUUCUCGGUAAAAGGGACUGCCUAGAAAUGGACACAGCAUUAGCCCUAACAUACCUGGGCUGUGGCAAUGUCCUAGUUUUAGAAAGAACCUGAGCACUAUUACCAUCCAGACUAUUGAUGGAGAAAAAAGGAAAAACAGCCCUUGAUAUCCAGAAGGUGGCCUUGCACGAACGGCUAAAACAUGUUAUUCUCCCAUUGGAUAUAAACAAUCUCAGGAAUACCAACGUCAGACAGGUUACUCAGAGACCAUAAUAAAGUAAGACAAACAACUCUACUUCAUAAUGUUGUGUAGGCACGGAUAAAACCAAGGUCGCCAUAUCACCCAUAAAACACCAAACACUCCAUCUCUUGGAACAAAUAGGUGUCUGCUACUUCUUUCCUAGACUGCCCUCUCUAGAGAUAAGACAUUGAUCGCCAAUCAUUGACCCUGCUUUUUUUUUUUUUCUUUUGCCCCUGCUUUUUUUAAAAAUAUUUUAUUUAUUCAUUAGAGAGAGAGAGAGGGAGAAGCAGGCUCCAUGCAGGAGCCCAAUAUGGGACUCGAUCCCAGAACUCCAGGAUCACGCCCUGGGCCAAAGGCAGGUGCUAAACCAUUGAGCCACCCAGGGAUCCCCAGAGAAUCCAGUUCUAAGGAAUGGGCCAACAUUCAGCAGAUGAGCACUUAUUAAAACUACAAGUUAGGAGCUACUGAGCAGCUGAGGCUUGUCCCAAGGCUUAGGGUUUGGAACUAGUUCUUACCACAAUCUAAUUCCAAACCACACCAGAAAGUAGGGCUGAUGUCACAUUUCAACUGAAAGUGAGCUCCUUACGGUGACAUGUAACACCUGCAGUAGGGAAUUAGAGAAAAGCAAUAAGGAGAGAAGGAAGCACUAAUUAGUGCACUGAGCUUUUUUAUAAUACUGUUAUUAAAGCUCUGAAAUAUUAUAAACAAAGAUCUUUGUGAUCAGAAUUGUUAAAUCUGCCAAUCAUCCAGAGACACACUAUUAAAGAAAACUAAAAAUAAUAAUAAUAUUGUUGCUAGAAUAUAGGAAAAACUUAAGGAAGUCUAGCUUUGAGGCCACUUACACCAUAACCUUUUGAGUUUAUUCUCUCUCUCUCUCUCUCUCUCUCUCUCUCUCACACACACACACACACACACACACACACACACACCCCUUAGCAAUAUAUUUUUUAUGUUUUUCUUUUUUCAGGCCUUGUAUACUUUUCCCAAGGCAGAUGUUCCAACUUGUUUUAUUCUUUGCUUAAAGCAGUGGUUCUCAAAUUUGACUACACAUUAAAAUUCCUAGGGGAGCAUUAAAAAAAGUUCAGUGUCCAGAACAUACCCCAGAUCAGCUGAAUUAAAAUCUCUGGAGUAAGACUGAUAACAUUUUUGGGUUUUGU